UUUAAUUUACUCGUAUCUCGACAAAAAGCUGCAAAACCAAGUUCUAUACUAGCCUUUAUGACCCAAAGAUAGUGUUGCAUAGUGUAAUUUAACUGUAUUAAUAAAUGGAGAACCUAUUCACUAAGAACUAAGUCCAUUAUGAAAUUCACUUUAAUAUAACUUACACUGGUUUGCGAGGAAAUACAUAAUCAAUGACAGGUUCAGCAAUUGGCGUUUACAUUUUAGUUUUACCCGCUUUAAAGUUGUCCUCCCUCGCAAAGGGUAGUCAUCUUGACGAGAUGCGAGGGCUUAUGUGUGUUGACUCAUGCAGGCCGUGCUGGUAGGGCCACCCAUGUCAGAGGGGCUCAUGACGAGCACAUACUACGAACUACCCAUCCCACGACUAGUAGCGUCUGUUUUCCCCGAUGGGGCGGCUACCAGUCCUCGCAUCUGUCAGAAAGUUAUCCUCAUCUUUGUGAUGGGGCCUUUCUGACAAUGCAGGCCGUUCGAGUCUAGUAAACCCAAUGUCCAACGGUCCGUCCCUCCAAAAUCCACCUAGCGUCUGUUUCCCAUAUUGGGCGGCUAGGUGGUCUGCAAUAACACCAAUGCAGAAUUUCUAUACUUGGCAGCAAGUAUAAAAUGCACAAUAGUACGAUGUCAUGUCCGAGAAAAAACCGUGCCCCGAGUAUCCGGUAAAGGGCCUUAUAAUCUCCGGAGACCCUACUCCCACGGCGAAGGCGACACGCUGUGGUGAAUCGAUUGCGACUGCCACCCAGACUAGUUCGACGGGGACACCGGGUCGGGCUAGCCUGAAGGCUACCGGCGCCAAAACCACAGCGACUGCGGAUUUAGGGAAGCCUGGAUCCAUCAGUCGCAACACAAAAACAGCAUCUGGCUCGAAAGCUGGAUGCAGAAAAAUAAGCAGCGAGGUACCUCUGAAUUUCUCCAGCUAAGUCACUCACCGAAGAGGAUAAGUCCUCCUUCAGUGAGGUGGCUAAGGACCAUCUCACGCGUGCUGUCAUCGACAGGGGUAACAUAGACGGCGCUAUGUCCCCAUCUAGAUGGGACAUAGUACGAAAGAAACUGAUGGGGGUGUUCUGGGAAGUUCUUAAACAGAACGCUGCCCCCCUCAGUGGCUUGUUCCAAUGAGCGUUCAGCUUCGCUCCUGAAGCAGACUGUCGCUCUUAUCAAUGAUCCGUGGGAAGGCGCUAGGCUGGAAGAGGUCUCUGUUUACGAGAUUCCACGAAGGCCUAUUUCCACCGCCAUAAUUUCUGCGGAACCACACUAAAAGGCGGAGAUAAUGGAAUUUCUACGGAUUGGGAAUCCGGACCUUACAACACAAGUCUGGAAGGUCGUCAGGGUCUCCCAACCAGAGGGAUUGUGAUGAUUCUAAGCCAGGAGUCACUGGCGCCGCUUCGUGAGAAACAGGGGAAGGUAUACUACGGCUUCGAGUCGAUCUUUCUCCGUGUCUACCGAGGCGACGACAAGGGACUGCUGGAACAGGAUGAUCUCGAUCCUAAAAAAUCUUCUGCAGAGAUGUCAUGCGACGAGACUGAUGUUUCACUCAGUCAAAGCACCAGUAAAUCAACCACUCGGUUAGUUAAGAGCUUCUUUGACGGAUUGGAACUGUCAGUUGACGAGGACGAUCUCCUUGCCUCAGACAAGGAGUACGCAAACGUCACAGUGUUGCACAUCGACAAAGGAGAUGGUGAGAGUAACUGAAAUUAAUUUCCACCACUCCAAAGCAGCCUCGGCUGCUCUGCUCCUCCGUAUGGGCGUUGGCGUGGAGGAGCUCGCCUUAGAACAGGAAACCUGGAUCCACCAAGUGAUGAAGACACCGUCGUAGCCACAUGGGAGACCAGUGUAGAUGCUAUAUUGGUAAUAUCCGCGUAUAUGGCUCACGACCACAGCCACCAACCACCAAACAACUUGGUCCGCAGAUUUAUUGAGAUGGCUAACACUAAGGGAAUGCCGAUCAUUAUGAGGGCUGAUGCAAAUGCCCACCAGUGUCUGGGGAAGCUCGGACAUAAACGCUGGAGGAUCCGAACCGACCUUUAUUCUCCGAGACCAGUCGAAUUCGCAAAGUCUUAUCGUCAACUCCUCCAGUCCCGAUUCUCAUUCAGAAAUCAUGAGGAAACUGGACGACUAGCAGCCAGGAAACCUUGGAAGUUCUAAUGGCUACACAUUUUCCAGGCUGUCAAUCUCCUGAAAAAUGAAUUGACAUGCAGCUCUCAAAUCUCCCAGCAAAUGCCCACCACACUGUCUGGGGAAGCUCGGACAUAAACG
This 2265-nucleotide long non-coding RNA is filed under the name Lucilia cuprina (Australian sheep blowfly). RNAcentral's name for it is "uncharacterized LOC124421395". Lineage: Eukaryota; Metazoa; Arthropoda; Insecta; Diptera; Calliphoridae. The record is from RNAcentral.